AAAGCACAUAUAAACCCACAGCCACUGCGGGUGGAAGGAGAAGGGCAGGGUGGAAAAAGUUUGAGAGAAGGAGGGAGGAAAAGGUGUCCUGGCUAGCACCAUGUGGAUUCUCUUGAGAUGAGAAGAAAAUGCCCCGCUACGUCCCCCUUCUGCUGCUCCUGCUUCUCCUGAGGUGUUCAGAACGGGGUGGAGGAGUUAAUUUUGGUGAGAAGGAUGCAAAAGUCCCCGGGACCUGGAGAGAUGGAGUCAGGGUCCCUGGAGAAGGAGCCUCUUGGGACUCAGACAGGGCCAGUCCCGAGCGAAGGUACGGAAUAGAAAGAGUGUUUCCUGCCUCCAUUAAAUCCAUCCACCAGGGUUAUUUAUCAUCCCCAUGUCAUGGACUACAGUACACCAUAAAGAGGACCCCAGCAGUGACUACAGUUGGUUCUAGAAAAAGGAGACCCCUCAUCCGCCUCUGCAAGACUAUACAGCAUGAUGUGUAUCCUCAGGCCUCCACUCCUCCGCCCUAGUCUGGAGCCCUGGGACCACCACAUGAGGAAGGCAGCUGGCCCCUGGAAUAAGCAUGUGGAGGACACUCAGAAGGAUGCCCAUCUGCUCUGAGUGUCUCCUAAUUCUGCCUGACCUUGGUUACUUCCUCUGGACAAUCGCCUUUACCUAUCUACCAGGUUUUGAGGAAUUACACACAGCUCAGGUAUAAGAGAUAUUCGUCCAGUGUUUAAAGGACCUCUUCAGGUGUCAUCAAGGAGUCAUACCAGGUCCAGCUGAACCCAACUUGCACAAGUCCAGAUUGAGGACACCAGGCAAGUAAGCACACCCCUCUAGAUUGUGCCUGAACAGGAUUUAUGCCUUUUGGGGAGUGUCACCUCUCAUUAAAACGUCUGCGAAUGCACACUCUGGUCCAGUCCCCUGUCUUUCUAAACAAGAAUGUUUGGUGAAGCAACAGUGAUUCAACACUCUCCCUUAGCGAGGUAUUGUUUGACACCUUAGAAAACACGUAGUUAUUUUUCAGAUCUAUUCAGGACCUUUCUUGUGAUUCAUCUAAAACAAACCCCUCUCUUCAGUCUCUACAGAUUACCAUAUUUAUUUUCUUUAUGGAGCUGACGACAAUCUGAACUUAUGCUUAUUUACGUGUUAACUUAUUUGUUUUAUGUCUGUCUCCUUCCACUAGAAUGUCAGUUCCUUGAGAAUAGGGGUUUUGAGGACAAUAUAUGAGAUAGAUUAGAUAUUUAAUAAUCAUAUGCUUCAUUGAGCCUCUGAUGCACAUCUUCCCCAUUGGAUCGUAAUCUAAAAUUGAGAUGUCGGAUGGGCGUAGUGGCUCACACCUGUAAACCCAGCACUUUGGGAGGCUGAGGCAGGUGGAUCACUUGACGUCAGGAGUUGGAGACCAGCCUGGCCAACAUAGUGAAACCCCGUCUCUACUAAAAAUACAAAAAUUAGCUGGGCGCUGGUGGCACACACCUGUAGUCCCAGCUACUCAGGAGGCUGAGGCAAGAGAAUCACUUGAACCUGGGAGGUGGAGGUUGCAGUGAGCCGAGAUUGCACCACUGCACUCCAGCCUGGGUGACAGAGUGAGAUGCUGUCUUAAAAAAAUAAUAAUAAAAAUAAAAUGGAGAUGUCCACUGGCUGCAGUGGUUCAGGCCUGUAAUCCCAGGACUUUUGGAGGACAAGGUGGGAGGAUUGCCCAGAGCUAGGAGUUAGAGACCUGCCUGGGCAACAUCGCAAGACACUGCCUAAAAAAAAAAACCAAGAAACGUUUAAAAAUGGAAAAGUGUCUUACACUUGAUAGCACAUCAUGAACCAGUCAGUAGCACUCUUUCUUCCUUAGUGGGGCAUAAGUAAUGCUGCAUCUUGCAUUCAACGUCAUCUUAGAUGGGAUGAAAUACACAUUUUGGAAUA
This 1896-nucleotide long non-coding RNA is filed under the name Homo sapiens (human). Its description in RNAcentral is "HSALNT0333680". The record is from RNAcentral. Lineage: Eukaryota; Metazoa; Chordata; Mammalia; Primates; Hominidae.